RNAcentral lists this ribosomal RNA (371 nucleotides) under uncultured bacterium. Its description in RNAcentral is "bacterial SSU rRNA". It matches the Rfam family "Bacterial small subunit ribosomal RNA", at positions 32 to 402 of the family's 1533-position model. The record is from RNAcentral.
GAACAACGCUGGCGGCGUGCCUAAUGCAUGCAAGUCGGACGGGAACCCCUUCGGGGGUCGACCGUGGCGGACGGGUGAGGAGCACGUGGGGAACCUGCCCAAGCGCGGGGGAUAAGCCCGGGAAACCGGGGGUAAGACCCCAUAGUCUUGCACGCUGGUAGGGGGUGCAAGCAAAAGCGAGAGCUGUGCUUGGAGGGUCCUGCGGCCUAUCAGCUAGUUGGUGGGGUAGUGGCCUACCAAGGCGAUGACGGGUCGCUGGUCUGAGAGGACGACCAGCCACACGGGGACUGAGACACGGCCCCGACUCCUACGGGAGGCAGCAGCAAGGAAUUUUCCGCAAUGGGCGCAAGCCUGACGGAGCGACGCCGCGU